RNAcentral lists this ribosomal RNA (451 nucleotides) under uncultured bacterium. Its description in RNAcentral is "bacterial SSU rRNA". It matches the Rfam family "Bacterial small subunit ribosomal RNA", at positions 328 to 794 of the family's 1533-position model. The record is from RNAcentral.
UGGCCAGACUCCUACGGGAGGCAGCAGUGGGGGAUAUUGCACAAUGGGGGGAACCCUGAUGCAGCGACGCCGCGUGGGUGAAGAAGUAUUUCGGUCUGUAAAGCCCUAUCGGCAGGGAAGAAUUUAGACGGUACCUGAGUAAGAAGCCCCGGCUAACUACGUGCCAGCAGCCGCGGUAAUACGUAGGGGGCAAGCGUUAUCCGGAUUUACUGGGCGUAAAGGGAGCGUAGACGGAUGGAUAAGUCUGAAGUGAAAGCCCGCGGCUCAACUGCGGGACUGCUUUGGAAACUGUGCAUCUUGAGUACGGGAGGGGCAGGCGGAAUUCCUGGUGUAGCGGUGAAAUGCGUAGAUAUCAGGAGGAACACCGGCGGCGAAGGCGGCCUGCUGGACCGAAACUGACGUUGAGGCUCGAAAGCGUGGGGAGCAAACAGGAUUAGAUACCCUCGUAUAU